AAACACAAGAUUAUGGUCAAAAUAGAUGAUGAUGCUGGACUGUUCCUAAACUAUAGGAUGGACGUUGGCUCACCUGAACGUCCCUUUUCUUGGCGAUGCGAAGCAAUUCAUUGUUAUUUCUCGAAGACACCCACAGAAGAUGUGACCUAAGGAGAAACAAAGGAACAACCUCCCGGGAGUCCUCCCGCCCCCAGGCAACCUGAGCGAGAACUGCCUGCACUUUCCAAAAGAACAAAAACUCUGUUAGCUGGAUGGUAAGGUUUUGC
Non-coding RNA from Pantherophis guttatus, 266 nucleotides. Lineage: Eukaryota; Metazoa; Chordata; Lepidosauria; Squamata; Colubridae. The record is from RefSeq and is a predicted model, not a curated record.